AAGUGUCAUCAUAAGUGUCCAUAGCACACGUGACUACUGGACGGAGUCGACGGGUGUUAAAAGUAGAGCGGAGCGAGGUGAUUUCACAACUAGACUUCAAGAUGGAGCUGAAAACAAGUCUGUCCGUCUGCUUCGCCCUGUGCGUGCUACUUCUCUCAUUCCCAGCAUCAGAUGGAUGCUGCAGAGACCACGAUCCACCGGUUUUGGUGCCGGGAACAUGUCCUUCCUCUAUUACCGUGUGCCCAGACCCACACUCAUCCGGCAAGGUUGUCCGCUGGGCUGAGCCAAGAGCAACUGACAAAAGCCAUCCGAUCAGAAUUGACAGAGAAGAUAGCUGCCCACCCAACGGUGGUCUGUUCACUGUUCACGGUUCCCCUUACCACAUCGUAUACUCUGCAACAGAUAGCAAGGAGAACAAACGGAACCCUCUCUGUUCAUUCACAAUCACAGUCAGGUACGAUCUUCACUGCAAACACAAGUAAAGCUGUAUCUACGUCCAGCCUGUCUGCACAUCAGCGAUGGUUGCUUGAAGCAGAGUGCACUUUGCCUGAUGCCUGAGACGAGAAAAAGAGCGACAAAAUUAGACCAGUAAAUUAACUGCCAGUGACCUUCAGCUUGGGCUUCAGGUUACAAAGGGCCACCAUCAAAAUGUGUCGACUUUGGUUUAAAAUUUGGCAGAUGAAUAAAUUUCGGAAGUAACCUUCUUGAAAUUCAGCAAAACUCAUUUGCCAAUGGGAUAAACAUUCAUUUUGUAAUCAAGAAAUAGCAAGAAGCCGAUUAAAUUUGAACUGUUUCGUAAAUAUGACAGGCUUAGAAAUACUUUUCGGUAAUAUUGGAAUAUAAUUACUCAGUUUUACUCAGAGAGUCGUAGAGUGUAUGCUUGUUACAGCAUGUGCUGAGGCACUUUCCUGCUAUCAAUUUGUAAAUACGUUUCGAGCACUGAUGUACAAUGUUUAGCAGUUAAACACUGGCAUUUAGGAAUUGGAAGUAUAGUGUUCAGCUCCUAAACAUGUCUAUGAUGGGAAAGCGAGAUAUGGUUUCAUUCCGUAAACUUGUUUAAUGUGUAGCUAUCUUUGAAUUGUUUUUCUAUUUUUACUUUUGUGAACAGAUAAAAAUUCAAAACCAAAAACAAACUUAAUUGUCUUGAUUUUCCUGCAAGCACACCAGGUCAGGUCUAAGAUAUGGAAAAUUGUCUGAUUAGAACCCCCCCCAAAAAAAAAGAUAGAGGCAACUUCCCAUGGCAUUACCGGCAUAUUCGUUAGCAUCUUUUCCACGCGAAAAUGAACUUUUGUAACACUUUAUAAAUGACAUUUUCCUAAUGCCUUGCAAUAGACCGGAAUGUAAAUCGUACGACAACAGAAGGGCUCAAUAAUGGAAAGUGGCAUAUCUUUUUUACCGACAGGCAGAAAAGUAUGUAGGUAAAGAUGCUGAAAUCAAAAUA
Molecule: unclassified non-coding RNA, 1441 nt
Filed under: Acanthaster planci (crown-of-thorns starfish)
Lineage: Eukaryota; Metazoa; Echinodermata; Asteroidea; Valvatida; Acanthasteridae
Description: uncharacterized LOC110975889, transcript variant X1
Source: RNAcentral